Molecule: ribosomal RNA, 167 nt
Filed under: uncultured Gammaproteobacteria bacterium
Lineage: Bacteria; Pseudomonadati; Pseudomonadota; Gammaproteobacteria
Description: partial 16S ribosomal RNA
Rfam family: Bacterial small subunit ribosomal RNA
Source: RNAcentral
GCAGGGGGCACCCUUGAUCCAGCCAUGCCGCGUGUGUGAAGAAGGCUUUCGGGUUGUAAAGCACUUUCAGUGAGGAGGAAAACUCUGCGACUAAUACUCGUAGGGCUUGACGUUACUCACAGAAGAAGCACCGGCUAACUCCGUGCCAGCAGCCGCGGUAAUACGAA